GCGCAGCAGGCGAGAAAACUUCACACUGUGCGAAAGCACGAUGAGGGAAUCCCAAGUGCUUGCACGUAAGUGUAAGCUGUUUCUCUGUCUAAAACGCAGAGAGAGUAAGGGCUGGGUAAGACGGGUGCCAGCCGCCGCGGUAAUACCUGCAGCUCAAGUGGUGACCGUUAUUAUUGGGCCUAAAACGUCCGUAGCCGGUUUAAUAAAUGCCUGGGUAAAUUGUGUAGCUUAACUAUACGAAUUCCGGGUAGACUGUUAAACUUGAGACCGGGAGAAGUUAGAGGUACUCCUGGGGUAGAGGUGAAAUUCUGUAAUCCUAGGGGGACCACCAGUGGCGAAGGCGCCUAACUAGAACGGGUCUGACGGUGAGGGACGAAGCCCUGGGGCGCAAACGGGAUUAGAUACCCGGUA
RNAcentral lists this ribosomal RNA (411 nucleotides) under uncultured microorganism. RNAcentral describes it as "bacterial SSU rRNA". It matches the Rfam family "Archaeal small subunit ribosomal RNA", at positions 330 to 743 of the family's 1478-position model. The record is from RNAcentral.